CCCUGGUUAGCUCAGUCGGUAGAGCGCUCCACCUGUAAUGGAGAGGUCCCGGGUUCAAUACCCGGACCAGGCA
Molecule: non-coding RNA, 73 nt
Organism: Ixodes scapularis (black-legged tick)
Lineage: Eukaryota; Metazoa; Arthropoda; Arachnida; Ixodida; Ixodidae
Source: Rfam